Molecule: long non-coding RNA, 10112 nt
Filed under: Triticum aestivum (bread wheat)
Lineage: Eukaryota; Viridiplantae; Streptophyta; Magnoliopsida; Poales; Poaceae
Description: long non-coding RNA (TAES_LNC024693)
Source: RNAcentral
GGCGCUUCCGUUCCUCUGAUUCGGUAUUCUCGUCGAUUUGUGCCAUUCCCAGAUCUGUUUGUUAGCUGCGUGUAGAGUUUUCUCGGCCAGAUCUUGUUGUUUGUGGUAGUUGCAUGUGUUACCCGCAGAUAUUUUUUGUAGAUGUAUGUGGUUUGUGUUGUUCCUUGAGUAGAUCACUGAUAUUCAUGUUAAAAUUAGACUAGAAGUACACUUAUCCCUUCGGCGUCUGCUAGUUUGGUAGGUUGUUGUUCGUCUGGUCUGUGUUUUGAUGUAGAUGGCUGGGAUUGGUGGGUUAAGUUUCGUGAUGUGUAAUUGGUGUACUCAAUUUAUUCAGUUUAGUAGCAAUGAUUUUGGACUGUAAUUUUUAGUGGUUUUGGUUAGUGAUUUGGACUGUAACUGUGAAUGAAUUGGACAGUGAUGUGUCCUGAAUUUUUCCAGUUAAGUAACAUUGAUUUGGACUUCAAUUUUCAGUGUUUUGGGUAGUGAUUUGGACUGUAACUUGUGAAUUGGACAGUGAUGUGAUUUAAUUUUUUCAGUUAAGUAACAAUGAUUUGGACUGUAAUUUAUAGUGUUUUGGUUAGUGAUUUGGACUGUAACUUUGAGUUAAUUGGACAGUGAUGUGGACUGAAUAUUUCAGAUAAGUAACGGUGAUUUGGCCUGUAGUUUCAGUCUUUUAUUAGUCUACCUUACACUGCAAUUUUUGAGUGUUUUGUUCCAUUGGCUUGUAACUUCAGGAAUGUGUAAGUUACAGUGGUCUACUCUGAAUUUUCCACUUUUUCCAGCACACUACAUUAAACUUAAUAUCAGUGUACUUAUAGUCUAAUUUUAAUGUGAAUUUAACCUUGUAACUUACUAUAUGUUAUAAAAUUUCCAUUGAUCUACUGUUUAGGAGUGAAUUUUCCAUCUAAAUUCCGUCUGCCAUGUGAGAGUCAGAUUAGGGUUUUUCUGUACAAUUUUUUUAUUUGUUUGUGUUUAGGUUGGGUGAGCGCAGAUGGUCAUUUUGAUCUGUUUUGAUUGUUCUAGGUGUGUGAGUUGGGCAGGUUUUGUGCUCUUGUACUUCUGAAUGUGUCAUGUCUGGCCAUUUUGGGAUCUGAACAUCACAAUUUUGGGACUAAGUGUGAUGUCUGUCCUAACUUGGGCAUUUAUGUUGCUACUGGAACUGCAAAUCACAAUUAACAAGGAGAUUAGGACUGUGAUAUUGCACUGAAUGUCCUCAUUAUCUGGUGCCCCUGUAACUAACGGCAUAUCCGUUAUGUGAUCUGAAAUCUUUUUGAUUGUAGUCUGGUAAUUCUUAGUGGAUUUCGUAGUGUAAUUACUUUAUCUUUUUAGUGUAAUUACUAUAGUGUAACUACAGUGAUUGCAUCUAAUCUUUUUGAAUGUAAUCUAGUAAUCCUAGUGGAUUCACACUGUAAUUCUCAACGGAUUUUCACUCUAAUCCCCAAUGGAUUUACACUGUAAUUCUCACUGGAUUUUACAGUGUAAUUCCUAGUAGAUUCUAUAGUGUAAUUCCUAGGGGGUUUACAGUGUAAUUCUUAGUGAAUUUACACUGUAAUUCUUAGUGGAUUUGGUAUGUAAUUCCCAUUUUUAGCAUGUAAGUGUUCAUGCUUUUCCCCUUUUUUAGCUACAUGCGCUAGUUCGGCGUUGGAUUUUGCAUCCUUCAGUUGUAGCUUGAUGUAAGAUCGCUCUGCCCUGUAUGUUUGCUUUGAUUUUCUCAAGUUUGGAUAUGUCAUUUUAGGAACUAGAGAUUCAGUUGCUUUGUGUUUUCAUUGUCCCCGUUGGUGCGGAUAGUACAUUGUCCUGAGCAUGUCGUAGUGUCAUGAUUUUCUCCACCAUUUCUUAGUUUCUUGUAAUGUUUAUUUUUAUUGUGGCUUGUAUAUGAAUUCACAGUGGAUUCGUUGGUGUAAUUUUAGCUGUAUUUUAGUGUAAUUUAGAGCAAAUUAGUUUUUACCAGUUAUGUAUGUAUUCUUGCUUGAUGCUAAUGUUAGUUUCUGUUUGUUUUUUUCCAGCGUGUUUUGGAUAGUUUUUUAUUUGUUAGGCUCUUUAGUUAAUCUUCUGUAAUACAAUUCUAAUUGAAGUAGGUUUAAAUGUUACAGCUAUAUUUUACUGUGAUUUUUAUUAUAUGCCCCUGCGCCCACUUCAAAUGUAAUUAUAUCAUUUUUGUGCCUGCAAGCAACACAAUAUAAUUGCUUUAUUUUGUGUACCUACAGUUGCUAGGUUCGAGUUUUAUUGUAUGCUUUGUAUGCUUACCGUUUUUCUCUUCCCCGCUGGUGUUAGGAGGUGUUUCUGCAUAUUUGAAUUCAUUGUUCUGGUCAGUACUAUGCCAUUCCAUGUAGUUUGUCAUGUCAGGCUCAGGCUCCACGUAUUGUUGCUGCACAAAGUAAAUCAAUGUUAUAUCAUUAGUCGAUGAAUAGUGUCGGUAGAUUUUCUCUAUUUUAGUUUUCUAUGUAUUUUUGCAAUGCAGCUACGCUUUGUACAUCAUUUGUGCCUGAAGUAGCUCAGUAAAAGAGUAUGAUCCACUUUGUUAUUUGUCAGGAAACUAGUUAGAGAAAGCAUGUUUUUGAUAAUGUUUUUUGUUUUCAGAAUUGUUUUCUGCUACUAGUGUGACGCCCGGAUAAUAAAGCUACAGUAACCCUCUACUAAUGAUGCCACGUCACCUCGGUUAUUGUUGUUAAUCUCAUGUUAGUUCGAGACCGAUUCUAAUUCAAAUCCAAAAUCAAGCAAACAAUAAAAGUUUUCAAAUAUUAAAAUUAAAUUGUUCGGAGUGAACCAAAUAUUGCAUAGAUAAUUAUGGUGGAGAAACCACACCUUUAUAAAAUGUUUAAAUAAUAUGAGAUGAAUAAAACAGCAGCAAAAUAAUUAUUUAAAAAACCUUUUGUAAUUAAUAAAAUGUCAAACUAAUUUAUUGAGGACUGGACUUUUGAGUAUGGACUAAUUUGAAAUACUNNNNNNNNNNNNNNNNNNNNNNNNNNNNNNNNNNNNNNNNNNNNNNNNNNNNNNNNNNNNNNNNNNNNNNNNNNNNNNNNNNNNNNNNNNNNNNNNNNNNNNNNNNNNNNNNNNNNNNNNNNNNNNNNNNNNNNNNNNNNNNNNNNNNNNNNNNNNNNNNNNNNNNNNNNNNNNNNNNNNNNNNNNNNNNNNNNNNNNNNNNNNNNNNNNNNNNNNNNNNNNNNNNNNNNNNNNNNNNNNNNNNNNNNNNNNNNNNNNNNNNNNNNNNNNNNNNNNNNNNNNNNNNNNNNNNNNNNNNNNNNNNNNNNNNNNNNNNNNNNNNNNNNNNNNNNNNNNNNNNNNNNNNNNNNNNNNNNNNNNNNNNCCCUGUUCCUCGGUCUCAGACCGCAACAGGGGCGUCGCCGCCGAACCAUCUCGCCAGCCACGCUGCUACAGGCGCCGCGGGGAGGAUAAGGACGCCAGCGACGGCCCCCCCUGCCUCCUCCGAGAGAUCUUUUCCCCCCUUCCCCACGAGCUGCUGCUUGCCCUCUCCGCCUCUCCCAUUCCCCACCGCAUCCGAGCGCUGCCGUGGCCUUGCCGGCGUAACACACGCGGUCCCCGACACCGCCUCGCCUCUCCUCCGCGCCAAGAAGGAUCGCCUCGACCUCCUCUUCCUCCCCGACGAAUCACCCGAGCAGGAGCGCCUCUGCAUCAUCCCCUACGUUGCCGUCUUCCUCCUCUUCUCCGACGAGCUUCGCCGUCGAUUCCGCCGCACCGAGCCCUCCUUGAGCAUGCUUGAGCACAUCUGCAGGAGCACUGUGAGCCUGCGCUUCUUUCCCCUCUCUCUCCUGAGCUUUCCGACGCCCGUAGCCCCGUUCCUGUAGCUCGCCCGAAGAACCUCGCCGCCGACGAGCUCGCGCCGUGGCCAUGGUCGCCUUCACAUGCGGCCGAGCGCCGCAUCGUGCUCCUGGGGUUCCUAGUGGCCCAACGCGCGCGUCUGCUGCUCUCGCCGUGCCCCGUAGCCCCUUGUUCGCCGCUCACCGAAAACCCACCACCACCUGCCUCGCCGCCGGCGACGUUCCCGGCCGUCCCCAGCCACGCCACCACCUCCAUUCGACGCGGUGUGGACUGGCCGUUCGAAUGGGCCAAACCACAGCCCCGGGGAUGCCCUGUGGGCGAAACCCGAAGCUCACCCGCGCCUCGCCGCUGCAUUGGAGCUCGCCGGAGCCCCUCUCCGGUGCCCUGCCGACGUGGCCGGCCGGGCCCCACCCCUGGCUCACUGCCAGUGGGCCCCACGGCCCCCAGUUGACUGGGUUGACCCAGUCAACUGCUGACUGGGCAGCCCAGUGCCACUGACAUGCAGGCCCCGCCGCUUAAUUAAACUAAUUAAAAUGUUUUAUAAUUAAAAAUAAUUAGUUAAGCUAAAACAGUCACUGACAUGUGGGGCCCAGCUGCUAAUUAGCCAUGUUUAAUUAAAAUAACCCACUGUCAGUCCACUGUCGAUGACAGGUGGGACCCACUGGUCAGUUUGACCUGGUCAGCGAGUCUGUUGACUGCUGACGUCAUAUUCCUUUUCUGUUAAUAUAAAUAAUUCCAGAAUAUUGUUAAAUCUUUCAAAAAUCAUAUAAAAUAAUCCGUAGCUCGGAUGAAAAUGUUUUCUAUAUGAAAGUUGCUCAGAAAAAUCCAACGAAUCCGAAUACGCGGUCCGUUCAUUUGUCACAUGCCUCUAGCAUGCUGAACAUGGAACUUUCCCCCUCUGGUCAUCUGUCUGACACAGGUCCGGAACCGGGAACCCCUUCCCGGUUGAAUUCCCCCUUCACCUAUAUCGUGUAGCCAUACGUUAGGUCACACCUGGCACAUCAUAUUGCCACGUUAUGCUUUGUGAAGCUAUGUUUGCUUUAUAUUUACUGUUUCUUCCCCCUCUUCUCUCCGAUAGACCCCGAGACCGAUGUUGCCCCUAUGAUCGACUACGUCGACGACGACCCCCUCCUUGCCAGAGCAACCAGGCAAGCCCCCCCCCCUUGAUCACCAGAUAUAGCCUAUUCUCUAUACUGCUUGCAUUAGAGUAGUGUAGCAUGUUACUGCUUUCCGUUAAUCCUAUCCUGAUGCAUAGCCUGUCAUUGUUGCUACAGUUGUUACCCUUACCUGCUAUCCUACUGCUUAGUAUAGGAUGCUAGUGUUCCAUCAGUGGCUCUACACUCUUGUCCGUCUGCCAUGCUAUACUACCGGGCCGUGAUCACUUCAGGAGGUGAUCACGGGUAUAUACUAUAUACAUUAUAUACAUGACACAUGUGGUGACUAAAGUCGGGUCGGCUCGUUGAGUACCUGCAAGUGAUUCUGAUGAGGGGGCUGAAAGGACAGGUGGCUCCACCCCGGUAGAGGUGGGCCUGGGUUCCUGACGGCCCCCGACUGUUACUUUGUGGCAGAGCGACAGGGCAGGUUGAGACCACCUAGGAGAGAGGUGGGCCUGGCCCUGGUCGGCGUUCGCAGAUACUUAACACGCUUAACGAGAUCUUGGUAUUUGAUCUCAGUCUGGCCAUUUGGUCUAUACGCACUAACCAUCUACGCGGGAGUAGUAAUGGGUAUCCCGGCGUCGUGGUAUCAGCCGAAGCCUUCGUGACGUCAGCGACUGAGUGGCGCGCGCCGUGUUGGACCGCUUUGACGUAACCGCCGUGAUCGUGUGGGUUGCUAGGUCUGCUCGCGGCCGCGUUCGCAACGUGCAGGUGUGCAUAGGGCGAUGGGCCCAGACCCCUGUGCGCUUAGGAUUAGGCCGGCGUGCUGACCGCUCUGUUGUGCUUAGGUAGGGCUGCGACGCGUUGAUCUUACGAGGCCGGGCAUGACCCAGAAAAGUGUGUCCGGCCAAAUGGGAUCGAGCGUGUUGGGUUAUGUGGUGCACCCCUGCAGGGAAGUUUAUCUAUUCGAAUAGCCGUGUCCCUCGGUAAAAGGACGACCCGGAGUUGUACCUUGACCUUAUGACAACUAGAACCGGAUACUGAAUAAAAUACACCCAUCCAAGUGCCAGAUACAACCCGGUGAUCGCUCUCUAACAGGGCGACGAGGAGGGGAUCGCCAGGUAGGAUUAUGCUAUGCGAUGCUACUUGGUGAACUUACCAUCUACUCUCUUCUACAUGCUGCAAGAUGGAGGCUGCCAGAAGCGUAGUCUUCGACAGGAUUAGCUAUCCCCCUCUUAUUCUAGCAUUCUGCAGUUCAGUCCACCGAUAUGGUCCUUUACACAUAUACCCAUGCAUAUGUAGUGUAGCUCCUUGCUUGCGAGUACUUUGGAUGAGUACUCACGGUUUCUUUUUCCCCUCUUUUCCCUUGUCUAUACCUGAUUGGCGCAACCAGAUACUGGAGUACAGGAGCUAGAGAUCCCGAGGAUGAUUCUACAUGGAGUUCGGCUUCGAGGAGUAGUUAGGAGGUCCCAGGCAGGAGGCCUUGCCUUUUCGAUCGUCGCUACUUUUGUGCUAGCCUUCUUAAGGCAAACUUGUUUAACUUAUGUCUGUACUCAGAUAUUGUUGCUUCCGCUGACUCGUCUAUGAUCGAGCACUUGUAUUCGAGCCCUCGAGGCCCCUAGCUUGUAUUAUGAUGCUUGUAUGACUUAUUUAUGUUUUAGAGUUGUGUUGUGAUAUCUUCCCGUGAGUCCCUGAUCUUGAUCGUACACAUUUGCGUGCAUGAUUAGUGUACGGUCAAAUCGGGGGCGUCACAAGUUGGUAUCAGAGCCGACUGCCUGUAGGAACCCUCUCUCCACACUCCUUGGCCGAAGUCGAGUCUAGUCAGUGAAAACUGUUUUACUAACAUGGCUGUGUGGCUUACGGGCCCACGUCGCCAUUGGGUGGUAUUAGGAUCUUUUACUCCUUGCCUAUACUCUGGGACUCUGAUCUCUCUUCUAUUCGGGUUAAGUGAAUUUUACUAAAUCUAACAUUAGGAUCUCGUUAUCACUUUCACCCGGAGAGCCCCUUAUUACUGAUGAUCGUCUGCUGCACGUGAAGACCCUGAAGAUACUCUCUGCUGAUAACCCGAGGACUUGUGUUCAUCGCUUUUGCAAUUCCCUUUCAUCGAUAAACUCCUAUAGAUAACCAUGUAUACUCGCCAUUCAUACAAUGUUUCCCAGUUGAUCUUGUUAUUACAAGAUACCCCGAAAUUCUCUCUGUUGUUUCGAGAAUCCUUUGAGCUUACUGCCUUGCUGUUCUUUGUCACCUGAAUACCCCUACGGAUAAUUCUCGCACUUACCGAGUAUCCGGUCAUCCCCAGUUGGUUCAAGUAUUCCACAAUAGUCUUCAAAAUACUAUUCGAUCUUUCAAAAAUCCUCAGGAGCCUGUUGCUCUUGAAAUUCUUGUUUGCUUGCAUUAUGGUUAAUCCCAUAAGUCUCGUAAUCUUAUUGGCAUCUCUUGUCAUUAUCAUUUUGAGUCCGUUGAUUCAAUUUGUUGCGAAUGCUCGCAAUCCUCAAUCAUAUCCUAGAAUUCAUUCUUCCGGCUCAGACGUCAUUUUAAACGUGAGCUGGAUCUCGACCUAUCAAAUUGCCAUCGAUUGUACCCCUAAGCCUACUCAACUUAUCCAUCCUUGAUCAGAGCGUUGCUUCUGACCCCCUGAUUUGGAAAUCAUAAUUCUUUUGCAUUUGAACUUUGAGUUACUCAGUUGUUUCUAUAAUCAGAUCUCCUUGCGUUCUUCUUCCUCUGGUUGAGUACCGAUGCUCACAUCAGAUCCCUUGUGGACCAUCGGUUCCUUUGUUGGAUUUUAUCCGACAGUGUCCUCCAUAUUAAAUAAGCCGGUGAGCUUUUCCUCGGCUACAUAAUGCCUUUAGUAAAUUGUAUCCUCUGCUUUGUCAACCAUGCUCUACUUUUGAGCUUGUGUUAUUUACUCCUGAAGUUUGUAGUAUAUCUUUCUACGAUGCCCCGAUGGGUUGAACCUAUGCCUUCCGUAAUCUGUGCGAACCCGAAAGAUUUCACGGGACAUACUUAUCUGGUAUUGCACCAGGUAAAACUUUCGACAACUAAUGUCAUUAUCGAAAUAAGAGAGGCGAAUGGAAGGUUAUGCAUUGAAGAAGUGGGAGUCGACCUGGAACCUUUGUGUUCAUGCCCAUGGACACGAUGUAGAUCCUAUCAUGGAAGCUUCUCUUAUAAUAAUUACCCCCUUGUAAUAAGUUCAUCUGGUAUCCGUGGACGUGGUUCCGACCAUGUUUCUCCUUGAUUCCGUUUCUCGUGCAAGUUUGAGCACUUGUCUUCUGCAGAGCAAUACCCUAGUCCAACCUCUACCUUGAUCUGUCGUCAAGUAUUACCCCCUGGUAUCUCGAGAUUAUCAUGGAACUGCAUAACUUCUUAUGAGUUCUUCAUCAAGUGCUACAUUCUCACUGAUUCCAAUUUUCCACGGGCUCUGAGUUAUUAGUCACUCGAGAACACCGAUAAGUGAAUCGAUUCCGCACUUCGAUUCAAUAACUCUAAGUAAUUCUUGUUGCUUACGAGUUUAAUAAACCUUCAAGUCAUUCCUAGCCUUAUCGGCUAUAUCAUUAUCGUGCUAAAUUAUAACUGUGCUACAUGGUCCUUCUUCCCGAAGCACAAUUUUUGACGAUGAGCUAAGCUUACAUCGAUCUUCCUCAUCAUAUUAGUUCGCCUUGAACAACAAGCUUGAUUUCAAGUUUGUGUCGUACCCCUGGUUCCAUUAACUUUUCGCUUCAUCAUUCCCUUGACUUGAUGUCAUCACCGAUCGAUUACCUCUUCAUAAAUUCUCGCUACAAAUGUGUCGUGAACAUCAUCAACAUUCUGAGCUCUUCCAAGAUAUCUAUCGAAUUCUGGAUGAGAAAUACCAUCCUUGCCCUCGAUGAUUUGUUUUAUCAUCGACCAUUUUAUUGCCUUCCAUUCAACACAAACUUGUUCGUGUUUUGUGUUGUAUCUUGAUUUCCUUGCUAUCUAACUUAUGAUAUGUUCUACCUUGGAGUAUUACCAUCCUUCAAUCACAGGUACGGAGUAGUUUUUAAGAACAAGUAGAAAGUGUCUAAAACUAGCAGAUCAAAGUCUCUUAACAGUGUUUGGUCUUUCAGUUUCCAAAGUCUGUGAAAAUAGCCAUAUUUUCUCUCAACUGGAGCAAUCCUCCCCCUUGCAUGUUUUUAACUAGUUUUCCCAAAAUGGAAUUGCUAGCUUCCUGAGCAUGUUUUGAUCCCUGUUGUGUGUUUAUUUCUGCAAAUUCAAAAAUCUAUGAUCUGGGCAUCUAGUUUUCAGUUUUCCUGUGAUCAUAGACUACUAGUUCAUGCGACCAUAUCCUAGUUCUUCCUAGGGUUUCUCUUGGUUCAUGCUUUUGCGUGAUUUGUUCCUAUUUUCGAUCUGUGUAGAUUUUGGCUUAACUUAGCCUAUGUUGAUGAUCCACUACAGGUCUGUUCUUUCUUCCAGAUUUGUUCCGGCAAGAGAGAGACGACAGGAGGUGAUGAAUGCACAGGAGGGGUGGUGUUUACCUGUGUUUUUUUUUUUUUGCUUCUCCAGCCAUGUUUGUGUUCUAGAUCAUGGAUGAAUCGCUCUCUCUGGUGGCGCUUCUCCAGGGAUAAAUUUGGUACUUUCUCAGUGGAGUUGUAAUGUAAUUCUUUUGUGUGUUUUUAGUGGAAUUACAGUGUAUUUUUAGUGGAAUUACCGUGCAUUUUCAGUGGUUUUUACAUUGUAAUUGUUAGUGGAAUUACAGUGGAAUUUACACUGUAAAUCUUAGUGGGUUUACAGUGUAUUUUUAGUUGAUUUUUGCUCUGUAUUUGCAAGUGGCAUUUUUAGUGGAAUUACAGUGUAUUUUUAGUGGAAUUACUGUGCAUUUGCAGUGGUUUUUACACUGUAAUUAUUAGUGGAAUUUACACUGUAAAUCUUAGUGGGUUUACUUUGUAUUUUUAGUGGAUUUUUGCUCUGUAUGUGCAAGUGGCAUUUUUAGUGGAAUCGCAAUGGAUUUUUAGUGGAUUACUGUGCAUUUUCCGUGGUUUUUACACUAUAAUUAUUAGUGGUAUUUUAGCCCUUUGUAUAGUUGAUUCACAGCAUCAGCAACUGUAAUUUCUCAGUAUUUUAGUGCUCAGAGUGUUAUUCGGCGCUGUGUGGUUAGAUGUCAUCAGUUUUGAUCCUUUUCAUCCUCCUGUAGUUAGCUUAGUCCACCUUUUGUUAGCUUUUAGCUGCUUUCUGUACGGGUUUGGGGCGUGGACCCGUUUAUAGUUUGGUGGGCAGAAAGAAUAG